GACGAACGCUGGCGGCGUGCCUAAUACAUGCAAGUCGAGCGGACGAAUCGAAAGCUUGCUUUUGAUACGUUAGCGGCGGACGGGUGAGUAACACGUGGGCAACCUGCCCUGUAGACGGGGAUAACACCGAGAAAUCGGUGCUAAUACCGGAUAACACGAAAUGUCGCAUGACGUUUCGUUGAAAGACGGCGCAAGCUGUCGCUACAGGAUGGGCCCGCGGCGCAUUAGCUAGUUGGUGAGGUAACGGCUCACCAAGGCGACGAUGCGUAGCCGACCUGAGAGGGUGAUCGGCCACACUGGGACUGAGACACGGCCCAGACUCCUACGGGAGGCAGCAGUAGGGAAUCUUCCGCAAUGGACGAAAGUCUGACGGAGCAACGCCGCGUGAGCGAAGAAGGCCUUCGGGUCGUAAAGCUCUGUUGUUAGGGAAGAACAAGUAACGCAGUAACUGGCGUUACCGUGACGGUACCUAACGAGAAAGCCACGGCUAACUACGUG
This 498-nucleotide ribosomal RNA is filed under the name uncultured bacterium. RNAcentral's name for it is "partial 16S ribosomal RNA". It matches the Rfam family "Bacterial small subunit ribosomal RNA", at positions 28 to 507 of the family's 1533-position model. The record is from RNAcentral.